CUUGAUGGACCCGAGCCACAGCGGCUCGUCCUCCGGCCGCCUCUGGCCGUAGGUGGCCAUCAGCGCCUGCGCCUC
This is a non-coding RNA of Streptomyces violaceusniger Tu 4113, 75 nucleotides long. The record is from Rfam. Lineage: Bacteria; Bacillati; Actinomycetota; Actinomycetes; Kitasatosporales; Streptomycetaceae.